Molecule: long non-coding RNA, 889 nt
Organism: Oxyura jamaicensis (ruddy duck)
Lineage: Eukaryota; Metazoa; Chordata; Aves; Anseriformes; Anatidae
Exons: 2
Source: RefSeq, a predicted model, not a curated record
UUGGCUGCACAGCAGUCAUCAACAUAAAACCCUUCAGUGCUGGAACUGUGCUUGAGUGUGAGUUGGCAAACUACAUCUCUGCAUAUAGAUCUGUGCCUGUUUUUGACUAUCUUCAUUUGCAACAGAACACGUAAUGCUCUUUACAUGAGUGGCACCUAUGGAGGAGCAGAUAUUUGGAGUUACAACAGAACAAUCUGCUGCUACUAUGGCAAAAUGAAGAAACUGGAAACAAGUUGCAGGAAUGACAGUUGGCUGGAAACAACACUGGAAGCAAGAUGUUAACAGUUCUUCCUUUUGUCUUUCAAGUGUGUACUAAGAUGCUCUGAUAUGAGGAGCCAUUGCACGUAUUGCUGCUUGCACUUUCAGCGAUGCCAUGAGGAUUAAACAGUAUGAGCAUAGUGUGUGCUUCACAAAACUAGCCACAGCAUCAGUAAAUAGGCCAAACAUAGUAUUCAUAAAAUGACUGUGUAGCAGUACCAGAGUGAACCCAGGGCUAACUUCACUGCUUCCUAGACUAGUUCUGUUGAUCAAAAGAAUAAACAUUUUCAGGUACAGUUUUGAUUGGAAAACUUAUGCUCAUAUCUAUGCUUGCUGCAUUUGCCAGUUAUGCAGCGGUUAAUUGCAAUGUUGUAUUGUCAGGAAUUUAGCAGAAUCGUUUGCCACUAUUACAAUACUUGUAGAUAUUAAGUAAGCAACAGUUACUAGUAUGCAAAAUCUGAAAGUAGUAAUUUGUCGUCUUACAGCAAAUGUAUCAUAGCCUCAAUACCAUAUGUAAAGACUAUUAUUUCCUCCAUUUUCCCAGGUGUAUGAGUGAUUAUAAGACCACUUGUUUCAAAAGUUAAGGAAUUUGCUAAUAAAAAUAAACUUAAUGAAUUAUUCAUAGAUCAAA